ACCCCAUCAGAAUUCUGACUUAAAACCAUCAAUCACGAUGGCCUGCGUUCUGACACUAAGAUAAUCAUGAACAGGCGUCAGAGUGUGGAGUGGCAGCACAAGAGCUGAUUUCCAUACUUUCUGAAUAUUUCCUGAUACCAAUGAACAGGCAUCAGAGCUCAGACCUGUCAACUUAUUCAAUAAAACAGCAUGAUCAACAGUAUCAAAAGCUUUCGACAGGUCCGCAAACAAAACAGCACAUUUCAUUUUAGUGUCUAAAACAUUGAUCAUUAACAACUAAAGUGGUUAAUGUAAUAGUGCUAUGCCCAGGCCUAAACCCUGAUUGGAUGACCAGGCCUAAACCCUGAUUGGAUGCCCAGGACUAAACCCUGAUUGGAUGCCCAGGCCUAAACCCUGAUUGGUUUACAUACAAAAUACAUGCCUCUGAUUUAAAAAAAGAGCAAAGUUGUACAUUUUACCAAGGAUUGUAGAAUCUUAUCUAGACCAGGAAGUCUUGAAAACAGGGCGGUAGUGAUUAUAAUCUCUACUGUCCCCAUCCUUAUGGAGAGGCAGCACAACAGCUGAUUUCCAUACUUUUUGGAAUAUUUCCUGAUAACAAUAUUAAAUACAAAAUGGUGGUUAUUGAGCCAACAAUGAUGAGCGCUGAAUACUUAAGCAGACCUGGGAUCCAAUUGGUCGGCCCCCUGUGGAGUUCUUCAUGUCUAUUUGCUAACAAAGCAUCUAGGAAUUAUUUGUUUCUGUAAAUAGCCUAAAAGAAAAGCUUUGACUAUAAUUUCUCUGAUCAUUUAGCAAGUUUCCCCCUACCAGCAUCCAACCCAAUAUCAUUGUGAAUAGACUUAGAAGUUCUUUCAAAGAGAUAUAAAAUGGUGAUUAAAUGUGUCAAUUAUGCAAUCCAUCCAUUCCAUUCAUUCCAUUCCAGCCAUUCCAUUCAUUCCAUUUAUUCCAUUCCAGCCAUUCCAAUGAGCCCAUCCCC
This 973-nucleotide long non-coding RNA is filed under the name Salmo salar (Atlantic salmon). Its description in RNAcentral is "lncRNA (ENSSSAG00000119494.1)". The record is from RNAcentral. Lineage: Eukaryota; Metazoa; Chordata; Actinopteri; Salmoniformes; Salmonidae.